AACGAACGCUGGCGGCAGGCCUAACACAUGCAAGUCGAACGAGCUGAGACCUUCGGGUCUCGAUGCUAGUGGCGCACGGGUGAGUAACGCGUGGGAACGUACCCUUUAGUACGGUAUAACCCAGGGAAACUUGGGCUAAUACCGUAUACGCCCUUCGGGGGAAAGAUUUAUCGCUAAAGGAUCGGCCCGCGUCUGAUUAGGUAGUUGGUGAGGUAACGGCUCACCAAGCCGACGAUCAGUAGCUGGUCUGAGAGGAUGAUCAGCCACACUGGGACUGAGACACGGCCCAGACUCCUACGGGAGGCAGCAGUGGGGAAUAUUGGACAAUGGGCGAAAGCCUGAUCCAGCCAUGCCGCGUGAGUGAAGAAGGCCUUCGGGUUGUAAAGCUCUUUCGACGGGGACGAUGAUGACGGUACCCGUAUAAGAAGCCCCGGCAAACUUCGUGCCAGCCGCCGCCGUAA
This 461-nucleotide ribosomal RNA is filed under the name uncultured bacterium. RNAcentral describes it as "partial 16S ribosomal RNA". It matches the Rfam family "Bacterial small subunit ribosomal RNA", at positions 29 to 523 of the family's 1533-position model. The record is from RNAcentral.